RNAcentral lists this ribosomal RNA (505 nucleotides) under uncultured bacterium. Its description in RNAcentral is "partial 16S ribosomal RNA". It matches the Rfam family "Bacterial small subunit ribosomal RNA", at positions 28 to 507 of the family's 1533-position model. The record is from RNAcentral.
GACGAACGCUGGCGGCGUGCCUAAUACAUGCAAGUAGAACGCACAGUUUAUACCGUAGCUUGCUACACCAUAGACUGUGAGUUGCGAACGGGUGAGUAACGCGUAGGUAACCUGCCUGGUAGCGGGGGAUAACUAUUGGAAACAAUAGCUAAUACCGCAUAAUAUUAAUUAUUGCAUGAUAAUUAAUUGAAAGGUGCAAUUGCACCACUACCAGAUGGACCUGCGUUGUAUUAGCUAGUAGGUGAGGUAACGGCUCACCUAGGCGACGAUACAUAGCCGACCUGAGAGGGUGAUCGGCCACACUGGGACUGAGACACGGCCCAGACUCCUACGGGAGGCAGCAGUAGGGAAUCUUCGGCAAUGGACGAAAGUCUGACCGAGCAACGCCGCGUGAGUGAAGAAGGGUUUCGGAUCGUAAAGCUCUGUUGUAAGAGAAGAACGGGUGUGAGAGUGGAAAGUUCACACUGUGACGGUAUCUUACCAGAAAGGGACGGCUAACUACGUG